GUCCCAGUUCGGAUCGCAGGCUGCAACCCGCCUGCGUGAAGUUGGAAUCGCUAGUAAUCGCGGAUCAGCAUGCCGCGGUGAAUACGUUCCCGGGCCUUGUACACACCGCCCGUCACACCAUGAGAGUCGGGAACACCCGAAGUCCGUAGCCUAACCGCAAGGGGGGCGCGGCCGAAGGUGGGUUCGAUAAUUGGGGUGAAGUCGUAACAAGGUACC
This 216-nucleotide ribosomal RNA is filed under the name uncultured bacterium. Its description in RNAcentral is "partial 16S ribosomal RNA". It matches the Rfam family "Bacterial small subunit ribosomal RNA", at positions 1285 to 1500 of the family's 1533-position model. The record is from RNAcentral.